RNAcentral lists this ribosomal RNA (380 nucleotides) under uncultured eukaryote. RNAcentral's name for it is "partial 18S ribosomal RNA". It matches the Rfam family "Eukaryotic small subunit ribosomal RNA", at positions 592 to 976 of the family's 1831-position model. The record is from RNAcentral.
CAAUAGCGUAUAUUAAAGUUGUUGCGGUUAAAAAGCUCGUAGUUGGAUUUCUGCCGAGGACGACCGGUCCGCCCUCUGGGUGAGUAUCUGGCUCGGCCUGGGCAUCUUCUUGGAGAACGUAGCUGCACUUGACUGUGUGGUGCGGUAUCCAGGACUUUUACUUUGAGGAAAUUAGAGUGUUUCAAGCAGGCUUACGCCUUGAAUACAUUAGCAUGGAAUAAUAAGAUAGGACCUCGGUUCUAUUUUGUUGGUUUCUAGAGCUGAGGUAAUGAUUAAUAGGGAUAGUUGGGGGCAUUCGUAUUUAACUGUCAAAGGUGAAAUUCUUGGAUUUGUUAAAGACGGACUACUGCGAAAGCAUUUGCCAAGGAUGUUUUCAUUGA